ACACUCCUCGGGAGGCAGCAGUGGGGAAUCUUGCGCAAUGGGCGAAAGCCUGACGCAGCCAUGCCGCGUGAAUGAUGAAGGUCUUAGGAUUGUAAAAUUCUUUCACCGGGGACGAUAAUGACGGUACCCGGAGAAGAAGCCCCGGCUAACUUCGUGCCAGCAGCCGCGGUAAUACGAAGGGGGCUAGCGUUGCUCGGAAUUACUGGGCGUAAAGGGAGCGUAGGCGGACAUUUAAGUCAGGGGUGAAAUCCCGGGGCUCAACCUCGGAAUUGCCUUUGAUACUGGGUGUCUUGAGUAUGAGAGAGGUGUGUGGAACUCCGAGUGUAGAGGUGAAAUUCGUAGAUAUUCGGAAGAACACCAGUGGCGAAGGCGACACACUGGCUCAUUACUGACGCUGAGGCUCGAAAGCGUGGGGAGCAAACAGGAUUAGAUACCCUUGUAUCCCAUG
Molecule: ribosomal RNA, 448 nt
Filed under: uncultured organism
Description: partial 16S ribosomal RNA
Rfam family: Bacterial small subunit ribosomal RNA
Source: RNAcentral